UGAUUAGAUAUGCAAUAGACCCCCUUAUUGCGAAGAGCAGCCUUCUACCCUAUUAUUGCCGCUGAGGCCCGGAAGCGUGGGGAUCAAUCAGGAUUAGAUACCCUGGUAGUCCACGCCCCUAAACGAUGAUUACUCGACGUGUGCGGAUAAACGGUACGCGUCUGAGCGAAAGCAUUAAGUAAUCCACCUGCGAAAGUACGACCGCAAGGUUGAAACUCAAAGGAAUUGGCGGGGGGUCCCGCACAAGCGGUGGAGCAUGUGGUUUAAUUCGAUGAUACGCGAGGAACCUUACCUGGGCUAGAAUGCAGUCUGACCGUGGGUGAAAGCUCAUUUUGUAGCAAUACACAGAUUGUAAGGUGCUGCAUGGCUGUCGUCAGCUCGUGCCGUGAGGUGUUGGGUUAAGUCCCGCAACGAGCGCAGCCCCUAUCAUUAGUUGCCAACAGGUAAGGCUGGGAACUCUAGUGAAACUGCCGUCGUAAGACGCGAGGAAGGAGGGGAUGAUGUCAAGUCAUCAUGGCCUUUAUGCCCAGGGCUACACACGUGCUACAAUGGGGUGGACAAAGGGCUGCGACACAGUGAUGUGAAGCCCCUCCAAAAAACCACUUCUCAGUUCAGAUCGGAGUCUGCAACUCGCUCCGUGAAGCUGGAAUCGCUAGUGAAGUCUUGUUUAUCCAAUGAUCGUGAUCGUACCGUGUCGUCGACGCCGCUCAGUCGAUCGUCAGCUGCAGACUAGUCCUCAGGAUGUCC
This 747-nucleotide ribosomal RNA is filed under the name uncultured bacterium. Its description in RNAcentral is "bacterial SSU rRNA". It matches the Rfam family "Bacterial small subunit ribosomal RNA", at positions 687 to 1533 of the family's 1533-position model. The record is from RNAcentral.